UAGAUCCUGAAACCGCAUGCAUACAAACAGUGGGAGCCUCCUUGUGGGGUGACUGCGUACCUUUUGUAUAAUGGGUCAGCGACUUACGUUGUGUUGCGAGCUUAACCGAAUAGGGGAGGCGUAGCGAAAGCGAGUCCGAAUAGAGCGUUUAGUAGCACGGCGUAGACCCGAAACCGGAUGAUCUAUCCAUGGCCAGGAUGAAGGUGCCGUAACAGGUACUGGAGGUCCGAACCCACUAAUUUUGAAAAAUUAGGGGAUGAGCUGUGGAUAGGGGUGAAAGGCUAAACAAAUCCGGAAAUAGCUGGUUCUCCCCGAAAACUAUUUAGGUAGUGCGUCAUGUAUCACUUGCGGGGGUAAAGCACUGUUAUGGCUAGGGGGUCAUCGCGCCUUACCAAACCAUGGCAAACUCUGAAUACCGCAAAGUGCGAGCAUGGCAGACAGACAGUGGGUGCUAACGUCCAUUGUCAAGAGGGAAACAACCCAGACCGCCAGCUAAGGUCCCCAAGACACAGUUAAGUGGGAAACGAAGUGGGAAGGCAUAGACAGCUAGGAGGUUGGCUUAGAAGCAGCCAUCCUUUAAAGAAAGCGUAAUAGCUCACUAGUCGAGUCGUCCUGCGCGGAAGAUGUAACGGGGCUCAAACUGUGCUCCGAAGCUGCGGAUAUCGAAAGAUAUGGUAGGGGAGCGUUCUGUAGGUCUGUGAAGGUGUCUUGUAAAGGAUGCUGGAGAUAUCAGAAGUGCGAAUGCUGACAUGAGUAGCGAUAAAGGGCGUGAAAAGCGCCCUCGCCGAAAGCCCAAGGUUUCCUACGCAACGUUCAUCGGCGUAGGGUGAGUCGGCUCCUAAGGCGAGGCAGAAAUGCGUAGUCGAUGGGAAACAGGUCAAUAUUCCUGUACCGAUUCUAGAUGCGAUGUGGGGACGGAGAAGGUUAGGUCAGCCGGGUGUUGGAUGUCCCGGUUUAAGCGUGUAGGCGUGCCCCUUAGGCAAAUCCGGGGGGCUGAGCUGAGGCGUGAUGACGAGGAACCACGGUUCCGAAGUGAUUGAUACCAAGCUUCCAGGAAAAGCCACUAAGCUUCAGUCUAGAGUUGACCGUACCGCAAACCGACACAGGUGGGCAGGAUGAAAAUUCUAAGGCGCUUGAGAGAACUCAGGAGAAGGAACUCGGCAAAUUAACACCGUAACUUCGGGAGAAGGUGUGCCCCGGUAGCGUGUAGAGACUUGCUCUCGAAGCGCGAUGGGGUUGCAGUGAAAUGGUGGCUGCGACUGUUUAAUAAAAACACAGCACUCUGCAAACACGAAGGUGGACGUAUAGGGUGUGACGCCUGCCCGGUGCCGGAAGGUUAAGUGAUGGGGUGCAAGCUCUUGAUCGAAGCCCCGGUAAACGGCGGCCGUAACAAUAACGGUCCUAAGGUAGCGAAAUUCCUUGUCGGGUAAGUUCCGACCUGCACGAAUGGCGUAACGAUGGCCACACUGUCUCCUCCUGGGACUCAGCGAAGUUGAAAUGUUUGUGAAGAUGCAAUCUACCCGCGGCUAGACGGAAAGACCCCAUGAACCUUUACUGUAGCUU
RNAcentral lists this ribosomal RNA (1563 nucleotides) under metagenome. Its description in RNAcentral is "bacterial LSU rRNA". It matches the Rfam family "Bacterial large subunit ribosomal RNA", at positions 544 to 2112 of the family's 2925-position model. The record is from RNAcentral.